UGAGGAAUAUUGGUCAAUGGGCGCAAGCCUGAACCAGCCAUCCCGCGUGAAGGAUGAAGGCCCUAUGGGUCGUAAACUUCUUUUAUACACAAAGAAAAAGCAGGACGUGUACUGCCCCGACGGUAGUGUAUGAAUAAGCAUCGGCUAACUCCGUGCCAGCAGCCGCGGUAAUACGGAGGAUGCAAGCGUUAUCCGGAUUCAUUGGGUUUAAAGGGUGCGUAGGCGGCUUUUUAAGUCAGUGGUGAAAUCUUGACGCUUAACGGUAAAAUUGCCAUUGAUACGGAUAAGCUUGAAUGCAAUUGAGGUAAGCGGAAUGUGUCGUGUAGCGGUGAAAUGCUUAGAUAUUACACAGAACACCGAUUGCGAAGGCAGCUUACUAAACUGUUACUGACGCUGAUGCACGAAAGCGUGGGGAGCGAACA
Molecule: ribosomal RNA, 422 nt
Filed under: uncultured prokaryote
Description: bacterial SSU rRNA
Rfam family: Bacterial small subunit ribosomal RNA
Source: RNAcentral